This 468-nucleotide ribosomal RNA is filed under the name uncultured bacterium. Its description in RNAcentral is "partial 16S ribosomal RNA". It matches the Rfam family "Bacterial small subunit ribosomal RNA", at positions 28 to 507 of the family's 1533-position model. The record is from RNAcentral.
GACGAACGCUGGCGGCGUGCUUAACACAUGCAAGUCGAACGGAAAGGCCCAGCUUUGGUGGGGUGCUCGAGUGGCGAACGGGUGAGUAACACGUGAGUAACCUGCCCUGGACUUUGGGAUAACUUCAGGAAACUGGGGCUAAUACCGGAUAGGAGCUCCUGCUGCAUGGUGGGGGUUGGAAAGUUUCGGCGGUUGGGGAUGGACUCGCGGCUUAUCAGCUUGUUGGUGGGGUAGUGGCUUACCAAGGCGUUGACGGGUAGCCGGCCUGAGAGGGUGACCGGCCACAUUGGGACUGAGAUACGGCCCAGACUCCUACGGGAGGCAGCAGUGGGGAAUAUUGCACAAUGGGCGGAAGCCUGAUGCAGCGACGCCGCGUGCGGGAUGACGGCCUUCGGGUUGUAAACCGCUUUCGCCAGUGACGAAGCGUGAGUGACGGUAAUUGGUAAAGAAGCACCGGCUAACUACGUG